Molecule: ribosomal RNA, 146 nt
Filed under: Acetobacterium sp. MES1
Lineage: Bacteria; Bacillati; Bacillota; Clostridia; Eubacteriales; Eubacteriaceae
Description: partial 16S ribosomal RNA
Rfam family: Bacterial small subunit ribosomal RNA
Source: RNAcentral
UUUUUAUUGAGAGUUUGAUCCUGGCUCAGGACGAACGCUGGCGGUAUGCUUAACACAUGCAAGUCGAACGAGACGGGAUGGAAUGACCCUUCGGGGGAAUGAAAUCCUAGAAAGUGGCGAACGGGUGAGUAACGCGUGGGUAACCU